AUCACCACACACUGGAGGCUGUCCGCGUCUGGAUAUAGUGACAGUGAACCCGAGGUCCUUGAUGCAGAUAAAGAUGCAGCUGUGGUUAUCCUGGGAAGGAAGUGUACACAGUUUGAAAGGAAUAAAUGCACCCUCAGCCAGGGGAAAUGGAGAAACAAAAAGGCUGUACCUGGUGUAAGCCUUGCUGAUGGCAGAACAAGUGGGCCAAUUCUGUGUGUCACAGAAUUGCAGCGAUUCUGCCAUGUUCAGCCCAGCCCAGUCAUUGUAGAAGGUGUUCCUGUGAAGAGUCAGGCAUUCUCUGGUUCCCUGCUUGUAAUACUGGUGUUACUGGGUUUCCAUCUGUAAAACGAGGAACACAACUGUAUUUAGUCAACAGAAUUGUGGGAAUUGAGGAGAAGAUACAUGUGAAACAUUUGAAUCGUUCAUGGCACUUGAGAAGUACUCAAAAAGCUUUGCCUCUAUCAUCAUGGGUAUGUGUAUUUUCUGAUCAAUAACUGGUAUAUGUAUUUAAAAUAUUAUUAUGGAAAUCAAUCCAGAAAUG
This 541-nucleotide long non-coding RNA is filed under the name Bos indicus x Bos taurus (hybrid cattle). Its description in RNAcentral is "lncRNA (ENSBIXG00005030899.1)". The record is from RNAcentral. Lineage: Eukaryota; Metazoa; Chordata; Mammalia; Artiodactyla; Bovidae.